This 1435-nucleotide ribosomal RNA is filed under the name Staphylococcus aureus 12-03481. Its description in RNAcentral is "bacterial SSU rRNA". It matches the Rfam family "Bacterial small subunit ribosomal RNA". Lineage: Bacteria; Bacillati; Bacillota; Bacilli; Caryophanales; Staphylococcaceae. The record is from RNAcentral.
GAGUAACACGUGGAUAACCUACCUAUAAGACUGGGAUAACUUCGGGAAACCGGAGCUAAUACCGGAUAAUAUUUUGAACCGCAUGGUUCAAAAGUAAAAGACGGUCUUGCUGUCACUUAUAGAUGGAUCCGCGCUGCAUUAGCUAGUUGGUAAGGUAACGGCUUACCAAGGCAACGAUGCAUAGCCGACCUGAGAGGGUGAUCGGCCACACUGGAACUGAGACACGGUCCAGACUCCUACGGGAGGCAGCAGUAGGGAAUCUUCCGCAAUGGGCGAAAGCCUGACGGAGCAACGCCGCGUGAGUGAUGAAGGUCUUCGGAUCGUAAAACUCUGUUAUUAGGGAAGAACAUAUGUGUAAGUAACUGUGCACAUCUUGACGGUACCUAAUCAGAAAGCCACGGCUAACUACGUGCCAGCAGCCGCGGUAAUACGUAGGUGGCAAGCGUUAUCCGGAAUUAUUGGGCGUAAAGCGCGCGUAGGCGGUUUUUUAAGUCUGAUGUGAAAGCCCACGGCUCAACCGUGGAGGGUCAUUGGAAACUGGAAAACUUGAGUGCAGAAGAGGAAAGUGGAAUUCCAUGUGUAGCGGUGAAAUGCGCAGAGAUAUGGAGGAACACCAGUGGCGAAGGCGACUUUCUGGUCUGUAACUGACGCUGAUGUGCGAAAGCGUGGGGAUCAAACAGGAUUAGAUACCCUGGUAGUCCACGCCGUAAACGAUGAGUGCUAAGUGUUAGGGGGUUUCCGCCCCUUAGUGCUGCAGCUAACGCAUUAAGCACUCCGCCUGGGGAGUACGACCGCAAGGUUGAAACUCAAAGGAAUUGACGGGGACCCGCACAAGCGGUGGAGCAUGUGGUUUAAUUCGAAGCAACGCGAAGAACCUUACCAAAUCUUGACAUCCUUUGACAACUCUAGAGAUAGAGCUUUCCCCUUCGGGGGACAAAGUGACAGGUGGUGCAUGGUUGUCGUCAGCUCGUGUCGUGAGAUGUUGGGUUAAGUCCCGCAACGAGCGCAACCCUUAAGCUUAGUUGCCAUCAUUAAGUUGGGCACUCUAAGUUGACUGCCGGUGACAAACCGGAGGAAGGUGGGGAUGACGUCAAAUCAUCAUGCCCCUUAUGAUUUGGGCUACACACGUGCUACAAUGGACAAUACAAAGGGCAGCGAAACCGCGAGGUCAAGCAAAUCCCAUAAAGUUGUUCUCAGUUCGGAUUGUAGUCUGCAACUCGACUACAUGAAGCUGGAAUCGCUAGUAAUCGUAGAUCAGCAUGCUACGGUGAAUACGUUCCCGGGUCUUGUACACACCGCCCGUCACACCACGAGAGUUUGUAACACCCGAAGCCGGUGGAGUAACCUUUUAGGAGCUAGCCGUCGAAGGUGGGACAAAUGAUUGGGGUGAAGUCGUAACAAGGUAGCCGUAUCGGAAGGUGCGGCUGGAUCACCU